CCGCCAGGUCCCACAAUUUAGGUCAAUAUAGAAGUAGAACAGCAAUUCUGCCAUAGAUAAUGCUUAUUGUAUAUACAUGCUUACAUACAGUUGUAAUCAAACUGAUUCAACCCACAUUGAAAAUCAGGUUUAUUAUCAGACUUUACAGACUUUCAGCUGUUGCAAUGAACAAAUUAAAUAAAAGCUAUUGAAAUACCCAAAGGCAAUGAUUAUACUCACCAGAACAACUACAUUAAGCUAUAGUUGUUCUGGUGACUAUAGUGUCAGUUUAAUUUAAAUGCUCUAAAUAGUUUUAACCAGUGAUAGAUUUACUACAAACAAGGAACAAACACAUAGGAUUUAAGAACUGAAAAUGUGUUAUUUAUUAGAUCACAUUGCUGAAAGGGCAAGUUAAAAAUGCAUUAUCAGUGGUUCUAUUCAUAUGCUACUUUGAUGCAGCCUCCAGCUUCACCACUGAUGAUUUCAGCAUCCAAAUUAACAUCACAUGUGAUCUCCUCCAAUUCACUGUUUUUCGUUUUGCAAAAAGUGCAGAUUUCAAUAGAAAUUACACCCCAGGCUGUCAGUCAGACAACUGGUUCUG
Molecule: non-coding RNA, 580 nt
Organism: Pelobates cultripes (western spadefoot toad)
Lineage: Eukaryota; Metazoa; Chordata; Amphibia; Anura; Pelobatidae
Source: the annotation of a GenBank genome assembly